CAAACCUCAAGCUCUCGCUUGGUGUUGGGCGUCGUCCUCACGGACGUGCCCGAAACCCGUAGGCAGCGGUGCCCGUCUCCCAGCGUAGUCAAGUUACCCGCUUGCGAGCGCGCGGUGCCGCCCGCCAGAUGAACAACCACAUUCUUUCUAUG
This 152-nucleotide unclassified non-coding RNA is filed under the name uncultured Tubeufiales. RNAcentral's name for it is "sequence contains ITS2". The record is from RNAcentral. Lineage: Eukaryota; Fungi; Ascomycota; Dothideomycetes.